Molecule: microRNA precursor, 94 nt
Filed under: Cicer arietinum (chickpea)
Lineage: Eukaryota; Viridiplantae; Streptophyta; Magnoliopsida; Fabales; Fabaceae
Description: MIR390 microRNA precursor family
Rfam family: MIR390 microRNA precursor family
Source: Rfam by way of RNAcentral
UGGGAAAAUCUGUUAAGCUCAGGAGGGAUAGCGCCAUGAGAUAUGAUAUACGUACGUUUGGCGCUAUCCAUCCUGAGUUUUACGGAUUCUUCUU